RNAcentral lists this long non-coding RNA (726 nucleotides) under Musa acuminata (dwarf banana). RNAcentral's name for it is "long non-coding RNA (MACU_LNC000548)". Lineage: Eukaryota; Viridiplantae; Streptophyta; Magnoliopsida; Zingiberales; Musaceae. The record is from RNAcentral.
GGGAGGUUCAUGCUACAAAAGCCAAAGAAAAAAAAGAACUCCAUGUUUUUGACACCGAAGAUGGAGAGUUCCGUGGCAAGGAGGAAGCAGAUUUGUGACUUCCGCUCCGACCCAAAUCAUGCAGGACACUCGGCAUCACUGUUGGUGAGGACGCCGCAUGGGUCACGCCUUGCUACUGAAGUGCAACAAAUAAUGCAGUCGACUUCACCGGGGCAUUGGAGGAAGAAACACCCACCGAAGCAGAGAAUCUAAAAAGCAAAGCUCCAAUGGACUGCGAUGAUGAGGUUGAGAAGCCAUUUAGGGGGAACCUAGCCGGGGAAGAGGAAACAUAAACGGACGAAGAAAGCACUGUAGCUGUAGGAGAUGAAGGAGGAGAAACCCCGCCAGCCACCAUGGUCCCGAGAUCUAUCGACGCCGUAACAUAGUCGACGCCCGUCACAACCUCUUGUGCCCCUCCAAGGGCAACGGAUAGUGGGCCACCAAAAGGGGGGCGAGAGGUCGUCGGACAAAGGAGAAAGGGCGUUAGUAGAACUCGUGGUCGACUGUGAAACAGGUAGCAGGCGUGUCCAGCGACGGGACUUGAAUAACUGCGUCCAGGCCUAUAGAUGUCUCGCUAGUGGUUUCCAUGAGCACUCGUGCCGUCCUAGACGACAGUAGAUGGCCCGGUAGACGCUUCGGAGGGAUGGUAGAAACUGGAGGCGAGACGGCGGAGAAGCUUGAAAGAUG